Molecule: non-coding RNA, 74 nt
Organism: Pangasianodon gigas (Mekong giant catfish)
Lineage: Eukaryota; Metazoa; Chordata; Actinopteri; Siluriformes; Pangasiidae
Source: the annotation of a GenBank genome assembly
ACAGAGAGGGAGAAGCGAGAGAGAGAGAGACAGAGAGAGAGACAGAGACAGAGAGACAGAGAGACAGAGAAACA